CCUACGGGAGGCAGCAGUGAGGAAUAUUGGUCAAUGGGCGAGAGCCUGAACCAGCCAAGUCGCGUGAGGGAGUACUGCCCUAUGGGUUGUAAACCUCUUUUGUCGGGGAGCAAAAACCGGACGUGUCCGGCUGUGAGAGUACCCGAAGAAAAAGCCUCGGCUAACUCCGGGCCAGCAGCCGCGGUAAUACGGAGGAUGCGAGCGUUAUCCGGAUUUAUUGGGUUUAAAGGGUGCGCAGGCGGAUUUUUAAGUCAGCGGUAAAAUCGUGGGGCUCAACCCCAUCCAGCCGUUGAAACUGGGGAUCUAGAGUGUGCGAGAGGUAUGCGGAAUGCGUGGUGUAGCGGUGAAAUGCAUAGAUAUCACGCAGAACCCCGAUUGCGAAGGCAGCAUACCGGUGCACAACUGACGCUCAGGCACGAAAGCGUGGGUAUCGAACAGGAUUAGAUACCCCAGUAGUC
RNAcentral lists this ribosomal RNA (458 nucleotides) under uncultured bacterium. RNAcentral's name for it is "partial 16S ribosomal RNA". It matches the Rfam family "Bacterial small subunit ribosomal RNA", at positions 338 to 795 of the family's 1533-position model. The record is from RNAcentral.